Long non-coding RNA from Nannospalax galili (Upper Galilee mountains blind mole rat), 2989 nucleotides. RefSeq lists it as uncharacterized. Lineage: Eukaryota; Metazoa; Chordata; Mammalia; Rodentia; Spalacidae. The transcript is spliced from 7 exons. The record is from RefSeq and is a predicted model, not a curated record.
GGAGCGGGGGGCGUGGAGGCCAAAGACUCGGAACCGGAGUUGCUGGAGCUGCGUGGUGCGCCGCCCAUCGGUCUGAGGAGAGGCGGAGUGGCUUAGCCGGCGAGUGUCAGCGCUUGUCCCCUUCCCUCGGCGCCAUGAACGCGAGGGCGUCGCUGGAGCGGGACGCGGUGCAGUUCGCAUGGCUGGCGGUGCAGGGGGACCAGCGGUGCCACGAAGGCCGCUUCUCCGAGGCGGAAGCUGUGCAAGCCUUAAUUUAUGUGAGAUGGCAGGAUCAAGUCUAGGACGCAUCCAAGAAAAAAAUCAGUGAGUAUCUGGAGAGAGUUCAAGCUGUGCGUUCUGCAGUUCAAUCAAAGAGUGCUGAUCCUUUGAAAUCAAAACAUCAGUUGGACCUAGAGCAUGCCCACUUCCUUGUUACACAAGCUUUUGAUGAGGAUGAAAAAGGGAAUGUGGACAAUGCUAUAGAAUUGUAUACAGAAGUUGUGGAUCUCUAUCUGAAAACUAGCAGAAGCAUUGAGUGAGCCUUUCACAAAGCCAUUUUGCAAAGUCAAGUCAACAAAUUUUAAAACGAAAAGUCCUCCUGUGAGAACACAUUUUCCUCUAGGACCUGAUCCCUUCCUUGAGAAGUCUCAGGCAUUUAUAAGUCCACAGUCAUGUGAUACACAAGGACAGAGAUACACAGCAGAAGAAAUAGAAGUGCUCAGGACAAGGUUAAACAAUCAAUGGUAUAGAAUAUGUUCCUUUCAUGAGUGUUGAUCUGAGGGAACGUUUUGCUUAUCCAGUGCCUUUUUGCGAUAGAUGGGGCAAGCUGCCAUUAUCACCCAAACAAAAAAAUACAUUUUCCAAAUGGGUAUGGCCAGAAGACCUCACCAACAAUCCUACAAUGAUAUACACUAUAUCCAGUUUUAGUAUAAAGCAGGUUACGUGGUCUGUAUGUUACACUGUCUCCCCAGCUGCAUAAAUGUACAUUCAGCAUGGGCCACAGCCGUGACGAAGCCAUCAUGAAAAUGGUGAAACUGGACCUGAAAGUGGGGCGCUUUUGAAGAACAGACACAGCCACCACACGACACCGUUCUUAGUUCACUAAUGUUAGCCUUAGGACAAAGCCAGACACCUUGUACUGGGCAGGCAUUAGACUACAACCAGCCUUUUCCUGCCUUUAGCCAGCCAUCCUGGUACUGUAAUUUAGGGGUUGAUGGUGGUUGAAAUUGAUUUCUGGUUGGUUACUAAGGUGCCUGAUAGGCACUGUAUAAAAUCAAAACAUGAAGAAUGUUUUUCUCCUUGAGCAUGGCUAGUGGAUUUAAAACAACACACUGCUGGAGUCAGACUUAGAAAAGCCUUAAGUGGGAAGUGUUGCUGAGGAGCAGGCACCGGCCUCACAGCCCUCACAGGCGGGCUUUGCCUCAGCUCCUCUGUGUUGGCCUUUCACCUCUUCACUUAGGUUUGGUUCCAGCAGGACCUGAUGGCCACGCAUCCCUUGGCCAUGGGAGGUUGCUGAGACUGACGAUGAGGCUGGGCCGGGUCAGGCCUUGUCUCAGUCUCCCACGGAGCUGGAAAUGGGGUUGGGGGUCAGAUUCUUAGGGAAGAUUUUACCUGACUUGUUAUGGGAAAAAUCACACAGGAAGAGAAACCACCUCACUUUGAAAAAUUAGCUCCGCUGAAGACUACCUUUUCUACCCAGGAUCGGAGGCGGUGAACUACUGGCUCUGCAUUGCACCAGGGGCCAGGGUCUGACUGGGCUGGAGCCUGCCUGUUGACCUCUGCAGCCAGAUUUCUAUAUCGAGAGAGUUUUUGGUUCUUUCUUUUUUUUUUUUAAAGACACCUUGUGGCUACCAGUCAUCAGUAGAUAUGUUGGGGAACACCUGGGGAACUGUUUGUUUCCUUGGAGACCAGGAGGAUGAUAUGUGGCUUCUACUAGUUUCUGUGUAGCGCAUAGUUUGGGGACAAACGAUCAGUUUCUUCCACGGGGUAGGUUUAGGAAGACAGAGGCUGCACAGGAUUCUGUUGUGGCUGUCUCCAGCAUGCCAUGCAUGGUGGUGGCGGCUGUGGGCUGGGCAGCAGCUCUCAGCCUGGGCCUCCUCUGGUGCAGAUAUAGCAGCUCUGGCCAGGUGGGGGCACUUGUGUGGGCUGGUUAGGAACCCAUUACUGGUCAGAUGGGUGGGGCUGGGUAGACAUUAGGAGCCCUCGGAAGUCUUGAUCUGGUGACUGGCCUCAGUUGUCUGGUUCAGGCCUGCGACCUGGUGUGGGGCUGCCCACACUUGGCUGCUGAUGGAUGGUUUAACCCAGCAACUUUCUUUUGUAUGAGACGACAGAGUUCAACACUCUGCAGAUUAACAGUUGGACAGCUGCAAAUACCAAUGUCUUGUGAUGUAAAAUAAUGACUGUGAAAUCAUGUUCUCCCCACUCCUGCAUCUGACCCUACCUCCCACCAGAUGGAAGUUGCUGCAGAAUCUCCAGCGUUAAUCUUUGCUUCAGGACCCAGACUGGUGACUCGCUCUGGUCAGCCCAAGUCACUGGGGCCGGGCCUGGUCUGCCUGGCCUUUACCACCAUUGUCAAGCCACAACCUUCUGGCCACCAGAGGCCUUCCUCAGUGAGCAUCAACAGAGCUCUGAUCCUAGAAGAAGCCACAGGUGCCCUUCUCAGUCCUCCUAGACCUAACCAGCAUCAGCUGCCUCCCCCAGCACUGGGAAGGGGGUGCUCAGACCACACACCCAGGGAUCAAGUCAAGUUCACUUCCUGCCUGGAGAGAGGUGGGGGAGGAAGGGCUUUUUCCCCCUGCAAUCUGUGUUCUAUGAAGUUUGCUAAAUGUAAGGGAAGCUUAAAUUGUUGUGUCUAUAAAGAGAAAAAUCUUAUUUAUACCUGUGUGUUCUUGACUGACUUACACACAAAGCCUAGAGGUCAGUUUUUUAACAUUGUGACCAUAUUAAAAGAAUCUCGUAACUUUCAUUCCUUUUUCUCCUGCUGAAAAAAAAAUUAAACCAAAUAUACGAA